AUGCUUUCUGUUCGUUUGAAAAGUAUUCUUCCAGAUAUAAUAUCUCCUACCCAAAGUGCCUUCGUCCCGGGUAGAACGAUUAUUGACAACAUCUUGGUAGCCUAUGAAUGCAUCCAUAAGAUUAAGAAUACCAGGAAAUCAGGAGUGUGUGCUGUUAAGUUGGAUAUGCAUAAAGCGUAUGAUAGAGUUGAAUGGAUUUUCUUGAGAAAUAUGAUGCAUAAACUAGGCUUUGAUAGUCAGUGGAUUGAUCUUGUUAUGGCAUGUGUGAGCUCAGUUAGAUAUAAAGUCCGGUUUAAUUCCCAAGAAACGGAAAUGUUUAUACCUUCAAGGGGGAUUCGGCAGGGUGACCCAUUAUCACCUUACCUGUUCUUAAUUUGUGCGGAGGGUCUUUCUAGCUUGCUGCAGUAUGAAGAAGAAGUUGGUGGCAUCGAUGGGAUAAGAGUGUGGAGGAAUGCACUGUCAGUAUCACACCUUUUAUUUGCUGACGAUUCUCUGACUCUCAUGAGAGCAGAUAUGUUGAAUGCAACUUCCUUACAGCAGCUGUUGGAGAUCUAUUGCAACAAUUUUGGACAGUUGGCAAGUUUGGGGAAAUCUAGUAUUUUCUUUAGCCCAAACACUCAUGCGCAAACCAGAGAUGAAAUAUGUCAACAUCUGAACAUUAAUAACCAAGCUAUUUCUGAUAAGUACCUUGGUUUGCCUUCUAUGGUGGGGGCAGACAGAAGUGAUUGUUUUAAACAUUUCUGUGAAAAGAUAAAGAAAUUGUUACAAGGAUGGAUGGAGAAAAAUUUGUCAACAGGAGGGAAAGAAACCUUGUUAAAAGCAGUAGCCUAG
This 831-nucleotide ribosomal RNA is filed under the name Triticum aestivum (bread wheat). Its description in RNAcentral is "partial small subunit ribosomal RNA". Lineage: Eukaryota; Viridiplantae; Streptophyta; Magnoliopsida; Poales; Poaceae. The record is from RNAcentral.